Molecule: ribosomal RNA, 1070 nt
Filed under: uncultured beta proteobacterium
Lineage: Bacteria; Pseudomonadati; Pseudomonadota; Betaproteobacteria
Description: bacterial SSU rRNA
Rfam family: Bacterial small subunit ribosomal RNA
Source: RNAcentral
ACUCCUACGGGAGGCAGCAGUGGGGAAUUUUGGACAAUGGGCGCAAGCCUGAUCCAGCCAUGCCGCGUGUCUGAAGAAGGCCUUCGGGUUGUAAAGGACUUUUGUCAGGGAAGAAAAGGCUGUUGCUAAUACCGACAGCUGAUGACGGUACCUGAAGAAUAAGCACCGGCUAACUACGUGCCAGCAGCCGCGGUAAUACGUAGGGUGCGAGCGUUAAUCGGAAUUACUGGGCGUAAAGCGAGCGCAGACGGUUACUUAAGCAGGAUGUGAAAUCCCCGGGCUCAACCUGGGAACUGCGUUCUGAACUGGGUGACUAGAGUGUGUCAGAGGGAGGUAGAAUUCCACGUGUAGCAGUGAAAUGCGUAGAGAUGUGGAGGAAUACCGAUGGCGAAGGCAGCCUCCUGGGAUAACACUGACGUUCAUGCUCGAAAGCGUGGGUAGCAAACAGGAUUAGAUACCCUGGUAGUCCACGCCCUAAACGAUGUCAAUUAGCUGUUGGGCAACUUGAUUGCUUAGUAGCGUAGCUAACGCGUGAAAUUGACCGCCUGGGGAGUACGGUCGCAAGAUUAAAACUCAAAGGAAUUGACGGGGACCCGCACAAGCGGUGGAUGAUGUGGAUUAAUUCGAUGCAACGCGAAGAACCUUACCUGGUCUUGACAUGUACGGAAUCCUCCAGAGACGGAGGAGUGCCUUCGGGAGCCGUAACACAGGUGCUGCAUGGCUGUCGUCAGCUCGUGUCGUGAGAUGUUGGGUUAAGUCCCGCAACGAGCGCAACCCUUGUCAUUAGUUGCCAUCAUUAAGUUGGGCACUCUAAUGAGACUGCCGGUGACAAGCCGGAGGAAGGUGGGGAUGACGUCAAGUCCUCAUGGCCCUUAUGACCAGGGCUUCACACGUCAUACAAUGGUCGGUACAGAGGGUAGCCAAGCCGCGAGGUGGAGCCAAUCUCACAAAACCGAUCGUAGUCCGGAUUGCACUCUGCAACUCGAGUGCAUGAAGUCGGAAUCGCUAGUAAUCGCAGGUCAGCAUACUGCGGUGAAUACGUUCCCGGGUCUUGCACACACCGCCCGUCA